Molecule: long non-coding RNA, 1099 nt
Organism: Sitophilus oryzae (rice weevil)
Lineage: Eukaryota; Metazoa; Arthropoda; Insecta; Coleoptera; Curculionidae
Exons: 2
Source: RefSeq, a predicted model, not a curated record
UUAUGCUCGCAUUAGAGCUCUACUUACUUUUAGGUUUAAAUCAGUAAUACCUUCGUUGUGUUUUAUAUUCAAAAAUAAAUCUCAUAAGGUCAUCUUAACAAAGACCAGAAUCUAAUCCUUAAUUAAUAUUAAGAGUAAAUUGUAACUUUAAAAGAACGUUCGUUCAUCCUGACCUUACUAGCAUCGCUGCAAAUCGAUGUCCCUUUUUAUGGUUCUAAGGAAUUGAAUGUUGAAACAUACAAAACUUUAUAUCUACUUAAUAAUUGUUCGCCUUAAGUGAAUCCAUAAAGUCAAAGAGUUUUUUAUAUUGGACGUUAGAUUUCUUUUUUUUAAUAUUAGACGUCACAUUAUGGCAGAUACUGUAUUUUGUAGUACCCCAAUUGUCAGAAUUAAUUAUUUAUUACAAACUCAUUUGAUCUUUGAUUAUUGCAUAGAUUUCAUUUAGUUUUUGACUGAAAAUUUUAUUUACUAUGGAACUGUAUUUUUUUUAUUAUUUAGAAAUAUUUAUCUGCUAAAAGCUUUCAUAAACUGAUUUAUUUUUCUUUUACUUCUGUUUGCAGUUUUAAAUCACACUUCUCCAAAUAUGAGAAUUAAAUUCACCUUGCUUUUCAUACAGUAACCAACCAAGUAUAUUUUCAAUCGAUUCAUAUUUUGACCCUAUUUUAAUAAAAAUAAGUAUUAAUGAAUAAUAUUCCAAUUAUUUUUAAUACUAAAGAUAUUUCGUUUUUAUUUUUAAUUAUUUUUUUUUAUUUACUAUUUCUACUGAAAAGUUUAGAUUCAAUUAGACCACCAAUCAGAACCCAGUUGAAGAGGAUCGGGCCAGCUCAUAAUCCCCUGCAACCAACGAUCCUCAAUGAUCAUUAUCAAAGCCAAACAUUAAUUAAUUAAUAUGGGUUGCAGCAUUGUAACCCUGUGCUUUUACUGAUACGUGUUACUAAAAGUAUAAGAACAUUUAGUUCUAAUUUUUUAUACCUUCCUGUAAAAUUUAAAAUUAAUUAAAACUGAAACUUUUGUUAAAACUGGAGAUGUUUUUUUUAUACAGUCUUAAAUAUUAAAUAUCAAUUUACUAAUAAUAGUCAACUUCAUGAAAGACUGGUAU